AAAAGUGUUGUGACGGUACUGUGAUCGAAGUUGGCUUUAACCUUUCGGUAACAUCAGUUCUUCAUUGUAUCUAUCUUGAUUCCCGCACCAAUGAGCUUGGGAAAUCAUUUCUGAAAGUUCUGAUAUUUAAUACAUUGAAAGGUAAUGCAAAAUGGCUAACGGCACAGUAAAAUGGUUCAACGACACCAAAGGUUUCGGUUUCAUCACUCCUGAUAACGGUGGUGAAGACCUGUUUGCUCACUUCUCUGAAAUUCAAUCCUCGGGCUUCAAGUCCCUGGCUGAAAACCAGAAAGUUUCCUUUGAAGUGACCACUGGUCCCAAAGGCAAGCAAGCUUCCAAGAUUCAAGUUCUGUAAUCUGAAGCUGGCUUGAAGAAAAACCCACCGUAAGGUGGGUUUUUUUAU
RNAcentral lists this small RNA (403 nucleotides) under Marinospirillum alkaliphilum DSM 21637. Its description in RNAcentral is "cspA thermoregulator". It matches the Rfam family "cspA thermoregulator". The record is from Rfam by way of RNAcentral. Lineage: Bacteria; Pseudomonadati; Pseudomonadota; Gammaproteobacteria; Oceanospirillales; Oceanospirillaceae.